RNAcentral lists this Y RNA (99 nucleotides) under Cavia aperea (Brazilian guinea pig). Its description in RNAcentral is "Y RNA (ENSCAPG00000004480.1)". It matches the Rfam family "Y RNA". From Rfam's summary of the family: Y RNAs are components of the Ro ribonucleoprotein particle (Ro RNP), in association with Ro60 and La proteins. The Y RNAs and Ro60 and La proteins are well conserved, but the function of the Ro RNP is not known. The record is from RNAcentral. Lineage: Eukaryota; Metazoa; Chordata; Mammalia; Rodentia; Caviidae.
GGCUGGUCUGAUGGCAGUGGGUUAUCAGAACUUAUUAACAUUAGUGUCACUAAAGUUGGUAUACCCCCCCCCACACACUGCUAAAUUUGACUGCUUAAA